GACGAACGCUGGCGGCGCGCCUAACACAUGCAAGUCGAGCGAAGCGGCGAACGGGUGAGUAACGCGUGAGGAACCUGCCUCUCACAACGGGAUAGCCUCGGGAAACCGGGAUUAAUACCGUAUGGUGAAAGAUGGCCUCGCGUCUGAUUAGUUAGUUGUUUGGGUAACGUCCUACCAAGACGACGAUCAGUAACCGGCAUGAGAGGGUGAAUGGUCCCCUUUGAGCUGAGACACGGUCCAAACUCCUACGGGAUGCAGCAGUGGGGAAUCUUGCACAAGGGGGGGAAGCCUGAUGCAGCGACGCCGCGUGAGCGAUGAAGGUUUUCGAAUCGUAAAGCUCUGUCCUAUGGGAAGCGGUACCAUAGGAGGAAGCCCCGGCUAACUACGUGCCAGCAGCCGCGGUAAUAC
This 408-nucleotide ribosomal RNA is filed under the name uncultured bacterium. RNAcentral describes it as "partial 16S ribosomal RNA". It matches the Rfam family "Bacterial small subunit ribosomal RNA", at positions 28 to 526 of the family's 1533-position model. The record is from RNAcentral.